Molecule: ribosomal RNA, 449 nt
Filed under: uncultured organism
Description: partial 16S ribosomal RNA
Rfam family: Bacterial small subunit ribosomal RNA
Source: RNAcentral
UACACUCCUACGGGAGGCAGCAGUGGGGAAUAUUGGACAAUGGGCGCAAGCCUGAUCCAGCCAUGCCGCGUGAGUGAUGACGGCCCUAGGGUUGUAAAGCUCUUUCACCGGUGAAGAUAAUGACGGUAACCGGAGAAGAAGCCCCGGCUAACUUCGUGCCAGCAGCCGCGGUAAUACGAAGGGGGCUAGCGUUGUUCGGAUUUACUGGGCGUAAAGCGCACGUAGGCGGACUAUUAAGUCAGGGGUGAAAUCCCGGGGCUCAACCCCGGAACUGCCUUUGAUACUGGUAGUCUUGAGUUCGAGAUAGGUGAGUGGAAUUCCGAGUGUAGAGGUGAAAUUCGUAGAUAUUCGGAGGAACACCAGUGGCGAAGGCGGCUCACUGGCUCGAUACUGACGCUGAGGUGCGAAAGCGUGGGGAGCAAACAGGAUUAGAAACCCGUGUAGUCCCA